GCAGUCGCCGCGGGAAUACGUAGGGUGCAAGCGUUGUCCGGAAUUAUUGGGCGUAAAGAGCUCGUAGGCGGUUUGUCGCGUCUGCUGUGAAAUCCCGAGGCUCAACCUCGGGCUUGCAGUGGGUACGGGCAGACUAGAGUGCGGUAGGGGAGAUUGGAAUUCCUGGUGUAGCGGUGGAAUGCGCAGAUAUCAGGAGGAACACCGAUGGCGAAGGCAGAUCUCUGGGCCGUAACUGACGCUGAGGAGCGAAAGCGUGGGGAGCGAACAGGAUUAGAUACCCGGGUAGUCCCUGUCUCUUAUAC
This 302-nucleotide ribosomal RNA is filed under the name uncultured bacterium. RNAcentral describes it as "partial 16S ribosomal RNA". It matches the Rfam family "Bacterial small subunit ribosomal RNA", at positions 508 to 807 of the family's 1533-position model. The record is from RNAcentral.